Antechinus flavipes (yellow-footed antechinus) is the source of this 538-nucleotide long non-coding RNA. RefSeq lists it as uncharacterized. NCBI's taxonomy places the organism in Eukaryota, Metazoa, Chordata, Mammalia, Dasyuromorphia, Dasyuridae. The record is from RefSeq and is a predicted model, not a curated record. The transcript is spliced from 4 exons.
GGAUAUCGAGCUCAAAGUGAAUGCCUCCAAUAUGGGUGCUUUUGAUCUGGAGAUGGUGAAGCCUUUAAUAACAUCUGCCUUUAAGAAUCCUCUGUUGGAUCAUCUGAAUGCACUCUUUGGCCUGGGAGCCAUGCUUCCCAAUAUUGCUAAACUGAGCUACAUCACCCCUGAGAUCUUUGUGCAUGAGGGUUAUAUUGUGGUGUCCUGUGGACUUCAUUUCCAGAGCUGAGCAAGAAGAAGACUUCUGGACAGAGCAGGCUGUGUUUAACUGGACCUCUCUUGUUUGGCCAUUUUAUACAUUGAAUGAAUAUCAAAUCCAAAAUUUCUUUAAUGCUCUAAAGCCUAUUUUUGUUUUUGUUUUUGUUAGCUAUGUGAUUGUGGGUUUAAUACUGCUGUACUUGCCUGGAAUUUUUCUUUCUCUCUUAUCCCUCCCUCACAUCCCAAUCUCAUCUAAAGGAGGAACAUACUGCUAGAUGGACUGUACAAAGAUUCCUAUCUCUUUCCCAACUCAUAUUAAAUACUUCCUUUAGUGUACCAA